RNAcentral lists this ribosomal RNA (490 nucleotides) under uncultured bacterium. RNAcentral's name for it is "partial 16S ribosomal RNA". It matches the Rfam family "Bacterial small subunit ribosomal RNA", at positions 30 to 507 of the family's 1533-position model. The record is from RNAcentral.
AUUGAACGCUGGCGGCAGGCCUAACACAUGCAAGUCGAACGGUAACAGGAAGCAGCUUGCUGCUUUGCUGACGCGAGGCGGGGGGGUGAGUAAUGUCCGUGAAACUGCCCGAUGGAGGGGGAUAACUACUGGAAACGGUAGCUAAUACCGCAUAACCUCGCAAGACCAAAGAGGGGGACCUUAGGGCCCCUUGCCAUCGGAUGUGCCCCGAUGGGGGUAGGGAGUAGGUGGGGUUAAGGCCCACCUAGGCGCCGAUCCCUAUCUGGUCUGAGAGGGUGAACAGCCACACUGGAACUGAGGCACGGUCCAAACUCCUACGGGAGGCCACAGUGGGGAAUAUUGCACAAUGGGCGGAAGCCUGAUGCAGCCAUGCCGCGUGUAUGAAGAAGGCCUUCGGGUUGUAAAGUACUUUCAGCGGGGAGGAAGGGAGUAAAGUUAAAACCUUCGCUCAUUGACGUUACCCGAAGAAGAAGCACCGGCUAACUCCGUG